CCUACGGGUGGCAGCAGUGAGGAAUAUUGGUCAAUGGGCGGAAGGCUGAACCAGCCAAGUAGCGUGAAGGAAGAAGGAUCUAUGGGUUGUAAACUUCUUUUAUAGGGGAAUAAAGGUAUCCACGUGUGGAUAUUUGCAUGUACCUUAUGAAUAAGCAACGGCUAAUUACGUGCCAGCAGCCGCGGUAAUACGGAGGAUCCGAGCGUUAUCCGGAUUUAUUGGGUUUAAAGGGUGCGUAGGCGGUUUGCUAAGUCAGCGGGGAAAGUUUGUGGCUCAACCCCGAAAGUGCCUUUGAAACUGUAGGACUUGAGUGUGGUUGAGGUAGGCGGAAUGUGUGGUGUAGCGGUGAAAUGCUUAGAGAUCACGCAGAACUCCGAUUGCGAAGGCAGCGUACCAGACUAUAACUGACGCUGAGGCACGAAAGCGCGGGUAUCAAACAGGAUUAGAUACCCUAGUAGUC
RNAcentral lists this ribosomal RNA (460 nucleotides) under uncultured bacterium. RNAcentral describes it as "partial 16S ribosomal RNA". It matches the Rfam family "Bacterial small subunit ribosomal RNA", at positions 338 to 795 of the family's 1533-position model. The record is from RNAcentral.